Molecule: ribosomal RNA, 783 nt
Filed under: uncultured bacterium
Lineage: Bacteria
Description: partial 16S ribosomal RNA
Source: RNAcentral
UAUCUAAUCCUGUUCGCUACCCACGCUUUCGUCCCUCAGCGUCAGUAUAUUGUUAGUAAUCUGCCUUCGCAAUCGGUAUUCUGUGUGAUCUCUAUGCAUUUCACCGCUACACCACACAUUCUAACUACUUCACAAUAACUCAAGUCUUUCAGUAUCAAAGGCAAUUCUACAGUUGAGCUGUAGGAUUUCACCUCUGACUUAAAAGACCGCCUACGGACCCUUUAAACCCAAUGAUUCCGGAUAACGCUUGGAUCCUCCGUAUUACCGCGGCUGCUGGCACGGAGUUAGCCGAUCCUUAUUCGUACAGUACCGUCAAAUACCUACACGUAGGUAUAUUUCUUCCUGUAUAAAAGCAGUUUACAACCCAUAGGGCAGUCUUCCUGCACGCGGCAUGGCUGGAUCAGAGUUGCCUCCAUUGUCCAAUAUUCCUCACUGCUGCCUCCCGUAGGAGUCUGGUCCGUGUCUCAGUACCAGUGUGGGGGGUCUCCCUCUCAGGACCCCUACCUAUCGAAGUCUUGGUAAGCCGUUACCUUACCAACUAACUAAUAGGACGCAUGCCCAUCUUCUACCGCCGGAGCUUUCUUCUUUAAAUAAUGCUAUUCAAAGAUCGUAUGGGGUAUUAUUCAACAUUUCUAUUGACUAUCCCCCUGUAGAAGGUAGGUUGCAUACGCGUUACGCACCCGUGCGCCGGUCGUCAGCGGAUUGCAAGCAAUCCCUGUUACCCCUCGACUUGCAUGUGUUAAGCCUGCCGCUAGCGUUCAUCCUGAGCCAGGAUCAAACUCU